RNAcentral lists this ribosomal RNA (429 nucleotides) under Gemmatimonadota bacterium. RNAcentral's name for it is "Gemmatimonadetes bacterium partial 16S ribosomal RNA". It matches the Rfam family "Bacterial small subunit ribosomal RNA", at positions 355 to 776 of the family's 1533-position model. The record is from RNAcentral. Lineage: Bacteria; Pseudomonadati; Gemmatimonadota.
UAGGGAAUCUUCGGCAAUGGACGAAAGUCUGACCGAGCAACGCCGCGUGAGUGAAGAAGGUUUUCGGAUCGUAAAACUCUGUUGUUAGAGAAGAACAAGGACGUUAGUAACUGAACGUCCCCUGACGGUAUCUAACCAGAAAGCCACGGCUAACUACGUGCCAGCAGCCGCGGUAAUACGUAGGUGGCAAGCGUUGUCCGGAUUUAUUGGGCGUAAAGCGAGCGCAGGCGGUUUCUUAAGUCUGAUGUGAAAGCCCCCGGCUCAACCGGGGAGGGUCAUUGGCAACUGGGAGACUUGAGUGCAGAAGAGGAGAGUGGAAUUCCAUGUGUAGCGGUGAAAUGCGUAGAUAUAUGGAGGAACACCAGUGGCGAAGGCGGCUCUCUGGUCUGUAACUGACGCUGAGGCUCGAAAGCUUGGGGAGCAAACAGG